CGGAGGGUGCAAGCGUUAUCCGGAUUUAUUGGGUUUAAAGGGUGCGUAGGCGGUAUUUUAAGUCAGUGGUGAAAUGUUGCAGCUUAACUGUAGAGUUGCCAUUGAAACUGAAGUACUUGAGUUAUCUUGAGGUAGGCGGAAUGUGUAGUGUAGCGGUGAAAUGCUUAGAUAUUACACAGAACACCGAUUGCGAAGGCAGCUUACUAAGGAUAAACUGACGCUCAGGCACGAAAGCGUGGGGGAUCGAACAGGAUUAGAUACCCUGGUAGUCCACGCCGUAAACGAUGAUGACUCGCUGUUGGCGAUACACAGUCAGCGGCUUAGCGAAAGCGUUAAGUCAUCCACCUGGGGAGUACGCUCGCAAGAGUG
Molecule: ribosomal RNA, 369 nt
Filed under: uncultured organism
Description: bacterial SSU rRNA
Rfam family: Bacterial small subunit ribosomal RNA
Source: RNAcentral